UGAAGACCCUGUAUUUUCUCUCUUUUUUUUUUUUUUCUCCCUCUCAUUCCCAGACUUAUUUUGAGACUGAUCCAUCCUACAAUGCCAAUGUAACUUGCAGGUGUUUCCUGUCACUAUUUCUGACCACAAUGGCUGAAGACCACCUUAUCAAGGAUGGAGCAGUGAAACACUGGAGCACCUCCAUCCCAGUUUGGGGCAGUGCUGGACCUAAAACAAAAAUAGAAUGGAAGAACAGUCCCAGUGGAGAGAAGUAAAUGAGAGAGGCAGAGGGGUGAAGAGAAGAAAGGAGUAAAGGAAGAAUCACAUCGGGUGACUGAUCCUCCAAGGGGCGAGCUGGAGAAAUGUGCUCCUCAGGGACCUCUGGCAGGAGGAUAUCUUCAGUUCUGCAGAAGUAAUUCCAGAGCACGAGACCAUCAGAAUGAACAGGUCCUGCGAUGUGAUCCAUCCAGAAUACAUAACACUCCCUGUGUCCAAGAGGAAAGUGCAACCAAAAACCACCCGGAGACAUAAAUAUCGUGGCUGCAGCUCAUUUAACUAGUAUGUAGAUGGACAAAACAGCAACAGCGUUACAUAUAAUGCAGGAACAUUAAAGAAAAUAUACUACUUGCUGGAAAGCAUAGUGCUGCUCUCCAUCUGCCUUAUCACUGGAUUCCAAUGGUUGGGUGCCCGCAGACCUUUUGCAUUAAAUUUUACAUUGAUUUUUAUGACUAGUUAUUACAUGUAAUGUCUGAGCGC
This is a long non-coding RNA of Gallus gallus (chicken), 735 nucleotides long. Lineage: Eukaryota; Metazoa; Chordata; Aves; Galliformes; Phasianidae. The record is from Ensembl.